This is a long non-coding RNA of Zingiber officinale, 1569 nucleotides long. RefSeq lists it as uncharacterized. The transcript has 4 exons. The record is from RefSeq and is a predicted model, not a curated record. NCBI's taxonomy places the organism in Eukaryota, Viridiplantae, Streptophyta, Magnoliopsida, Zingiberales, Zingiberaceae.
GCUUCCGAUCGGCUCGAUGCGAGGCAGCAUCGCCGGUGGUGCUAUGGUCGCUGGCCAUGCGGUUUGGGGCUACAAGAAGAGUGCCGGCACUUGACGUUGUUCGGGCACGCGAUCCAUGCGAUAGACUAUCCGAUGUCUCGGCUACGGCUUCAUGGAGCUUUGAAGGUGCAUCGAUCCGCUCUCUCUCAGGCUACGACUGAUCCGCGUUCUUAUGUUUAAUUAGUGCUGCAGCAUACUUCACAAUGCUCUUUCAGACAGUCUGGUUGUGUUUGCAAACAGAGUUUUUUCUUGAUUCACCUGCAAUAUAACUAGUUUAAAGAAAUAGAUCUACAUUUCCAACUAAUAUCCUUGUGCAUGGGGUGAAAUUGCAUCAGCAUACAUCACAUUUUUCAUUUCAUAUGUUUUAUAAUAUGCUUUUCUUCAGCAAUUGCCUUUUUCAAUGUGUUGUUAAAUAGCUCUAUCACCAUAGAUACUCUUUAUUUAGUAGAAAGGCUAAGGGUGUGUUUGGUUUACGCACGUUCCAUUUUCAUUUUUUGAAAAACGCACAUUUUCUAGAAAAUAAAAAAUAACUUUUGUCAUUCUCUAUUUUUCCAAAAAAUACUAUCUAUUUUUUUAGAAAACAGACAUAAAAAAUGCAAACCAAACACCAUUUUUCAGAAAUACGCGUUUUUCAAAAAAUAAAAAUGAAAAAUAUGCAAACCAAACGCACCCUAAGUUUUUGUCAAUUUAUGAUUAAGUAUAUACACUUGAGGUGACCCUUGCCAAUGGUCUGUCUUCAGAUUCAGCAUAUUUAUUAUUUUCUACUUCGAUGAAGUAUAGCAAUGAUCCUGAUACCAAUCAAUGGAGAUGGACCUUGUAAAAUGUCUUCGGAAAUUUUAUGGACAUAGAGUUCCUCUCGAUAUCUAAUUUUUUUGCUUGGCUUGUUUCUUUGUUCUACAAACUCCUGAGUCCAAUGUGUUCUUCGAGCCUCAAGGCAUGGAUGAUGGAUCUAACCGCAAUAUGCAUACACUUUGGAACUUUGGAAUCACACUUUAGCCAAGUGUGCAUUUUCAAUUUCAGGAGCAGAUCAGGAGCUCAUGUGGCCUUUCUUGAUAUUGAGUACAAAAGGAGAUGCAGCAUCAUUUGGAAAUUGUGAAAGAGCAAGAGCAUACAUACAAAGAAGAAAAUUUUAUUCUCUAAAAGAAUUUGAUAGUACCCGGGAGCAGAAGUGUUAAAGAUUUGUGAUUUGGUGACAGUGGAUGAUAGAUGGAGGUGAUCCAAUGCACUACUACAUGAAUGCAUCUUGUUAUCCUUAAAGAUUUGUGAUUCGAUGAUAGUGGAGAUAGAUGGAGGGGAUCCAAUGCACUAAUCAGAUCUCAGUGCUCUGCUCUUUAAUGUGUUUGCCAACUCUUCUGAUACCUCCACAAGCAGUGACCCACAUGAACAACCCCAGACUUGCAGGCUGCACUAGGGGUGUCCAUCAUUUGUAGGUUGAAAGCUACACAGAUUUUGUUAUGCCUUUCUUUAUUGGAUUUAUUGCAUGGUUUUAGCUCAUCUAAUUUAAUCUUUGAAUUUUAGUAAAUCAAUAUU